CCUACGGGCGGCAGCAGUGAGGAAUAUUGGUCAAUGGGCGGAAGUCUGAACCAGCCAUGCAGCGUGAAGGAUGACUGCUCUAUGAGUUGUAAACUGCUUUUGUACGGGGGUAAACCUCAGUACGUAUAUUCAGCUGCAAGUACUUUACGAAUAAGGAUCGGCUAACUCCGUGCCAGCAGCCGCGGUAAUACGGAGGAUCCAAGCGUUAUCCGGAUUUAUUGGGUUUAAAGGGUGCGUAGGCGGAUUGAUAAGUUAGAGGUGAAAUGUUCCGGCUUAACUCUGGAACUGCCUUUAAUACUGUUGAUCUAGAGAGUAGAUGCGGUAGGCGGAAUGUAUGGUGUAGCGGUGAAAUGCUUAGAGAUCAUAAAGAACACCGAUUGCGAAGGCAGCUUACCAAUCUAUAUCUGACGUUGAGGCACGAAAGCGUGGGGAGCAAACAGGAUUAGAUACCCUUGUAGUC
Molecule: ribosomal RNA, 460 nt
Filed under: uncultured bacterium
Lineage: Bacteria
Description: partial 16S ribosomal RNA
Rfam family: Bacterial small subunit ribosomal RNA
Source: RNAcentral